CCUCUGCCUAUGAUGGUAAUUAAAUAUACUUUGAGUAUUUUACUAUGAACAAAACUUUUUAGCUGAGGCUU
This is a small nucleolar RNA of Lycium barbarum (goji berry), 71 nucleotides long. The record is from RefSeq and is a predicted model, not a curated record. Lineage: Eukaryota; Viridiplantae; Streptophyta; Magnoliopsida; Solanales; Solanaceae.